UUUGAAUCAUAGAUUUAGAAAACAAGAAGCCAAGUUUUUUCUUGUAUCUUUAUGAAAAAGAAUAGCACGCAAUGCCGGCACCGGAGUCUUACCCAGUUGACGGGAGUUCAAAGGGAGACAGCAUCGGCUGUGGAUGGGGGAGGGCAAGCCAGGAAGAGGGGCAGGAUCUGCCUAAGCUCCUGCCUGGAGUGGGUACCCUGUAAGCUGCCGCGUGGUAUGGACACAUGAGGGGCACAGAGCAGGGGCAGUCAGUGAGUGUCCCUGAGUUUUCUAAGGCAAAGCAGCAGCGGCAGAUGAUGGGACCUCCAUGGGGAAGGCCGCGAUGCCGAAGAAGGAGGGAGAGGCCUGCCCACGUGCCAUCCUGCCACAGGUCCUGCAUAGAUAACGAUAACCUGCAGGCUGAAGCUCAUGUUAGAGGUGGCAGAGCACUUUCAUAAGCUCUCAGUCCUGCUUAUGAUACACCAGGGGAUGUUGGCAGACAAUCCCAAGACCGCCAAGGGGUGCACUCAGGAGCUGACACCCAGAGCCUGUCGGGAAGAGGACCGCCAGCCUGAGCGCAUGGUCAGCCCUGUGAAGGCCACUAUUUCUACUGUACAGGGCUCUUGUGAGAUGUGCUGAGAUGAAAAGAUGAAGGAGAAAUGGCCCAGGUCUAUGAGGUUACCAUAUAUUCGGUGAAGAACAACAGAUGCAUAAAGAGAUGGUGCUAAUAAAAUGAGGAAGUAUAUGACA
This 729-nucleotide long non-coding RNA is filed under the name Piliocolobus tephrosceles (Ugandan red Colobus). Its description in RNAcentral is "lncRNA (ENSPTEG00000005725.1)". The record is from RNAcentral. Lineage: Eukaryota; Metazoa; Chordata; Mammalia; Primates; Cercopithecidae.